Small nucleolar RNA from Nicotiana attenuata, 100 nucleotides. It matches the Rfam family "Plant small nucleolar RNA R71". Rfam says of the family: R71 is a member of the C/D box family of snoRNAs containing the C (UGAUGA) and D (CUGA) box motifs. Multiple nearly identical copies of this snoRNA have been identified in Arabidopsis, and it is thought to function as a 2'-O-ribose methylation guide for 18S ribosomal RNA. NCBI's taxonomy places the organism in Eukaryota, Viridiplantae, Streptophyta, Magnoliopsida, Solanales, Solanaceae. The record is from Rfam.
UGACAAUAAUAUGGGCAAUAGCUUCUUGUAUCUUUCUCAAGCUUGACAAAGAGUCUCACCAUUCCUUUUGUUGAAACCCAAAAAUCUAGCUCCUUAGUGA